Zalophus californianus (California sea lion) is the source of this 1087-nucleotide long non-coding RNA. RefSeq lists it as uncharacterized. The record is from RefSeq and is a predicted model, not a curated record. NCBI's taxonomy places the organism in Eukaryota, Metazoa, Chordata, Mammalia, Carnivora, Otariidae. The transcript is spliced from 3 exons.
AUAAUCCAAGAAUAUAUCUUAUUGGUACCCUGAUGUCAAAGAUAGCAUUAAACUCAAGAACUCAGAUGAAAUUGUGUGGACAUGAUAGCAACAAUAGUCAUUCUCAGGAUUUCCAUAGGAUUUCCUUCUUUCUUUGAAAUGAGAGUAAAUAAGAUUACCAACUUAGAUAACCCAUAAUAUCCCUAAAAUUACUAUAGGAGGGAGGUCUCCUGAAAAUGAGGAAUGCAUUUUAUAACAGGUAGGAUGGAAGCUUGUAUCUAUUUUGUUUGAACAGCUUCUGUUAAAAAAGAGUAGCUAAUGUAAGAUCAAUAUUUCUACCCAGAAAAACAAAGAAAGUUAGACAACACACACACACACAACUACCACCACCACCAAUAACAACAACAACAAACAACAAACAAGCUGUUUGAAGACAUGGGAAAGAAGUAAAGCAGCCAGACCAAAGGGACCAAGACCCCAAGAAGAAGGGACAUAUGUUAUGAAGAGGUCAAGUGAGGACACAGUAAGGAAGCAGCUAUGUGCAACCCAGGGAGAAAGUCCUCAUCAGAAACCAACCAUGUUGGCACCCUGAUCUAAGGCUUUCAGCUGGCAGAACUAGGAUCAAGUAAAUUUCUGCUGUUCAAGACACCCAUCCUAUGGUAUUUUAUUAUGGAAUCCCAAGAAAAUGAAGACAUCAUCCAAGCACAUCUGGCCACCUUACUUUACUUUUUCUCAGAUUUUGAAGCAUCCUUGGAAGUUGCAAAUACUUCAAAAGGUAACUCACCUUGGAACUAUAAACCUUGCAAAUACCAUCACAUAUUGCUGUAUUUGAAGAGGGACGUUAAAACAAAGGAGUGUUUUGUUUUAAUAUGGGAGAUACUAUAAAAUUGGAUGAUGGAAAUAAUUCCAUAGAGAGGCUCAGUAAAAUUUCAACUUCAGUUUUAAAAGUAUCACUAAAAUGCAAAUUCCUUUUAAAAUUACAGAGAGAUACCACAACAUAUUACAAUGGCCAAAAUCUGGAACAUUGACCACACCAAAUGCUGACAAGAAUGUAGAACAACAGGGACUCUCAUACAUUACUGGUGGAGAUACAAAAUGGCACAGCCAC